GGGCCCGCACAAGCGGAGGAGCAUGUGGUUUAAUUCGAUGAUACGCGAGGAACCUUACCUAGGCUUGAAAGACGUAUGCUUUAUUUAGAGAUAGAUAUUUCCGUUUACGGACAUACGUUUAGGUGCUGCAUGGCUGUCGUCAGCUCGUGCCGUGAGGUGUUUGGUUAAGUCCAGCAACGAGCGCAACCCCUAUUAUUAGUUACCAGCGAUUUAAGUCGGGGACUCUAAUAAAACUGCCAGCGUAAGCUGAGAGGAAGGUGGGGAUGACGUCAAGUCAGCACGGCCCUUACGUCUAGGGCUACACACGUGCUACAAUGGUUGGUACAGAGGGCAGCUACAUAGUGAUAUGAUGCGAAUCUCUAAAGCCAAUCUCAGUUCGGAUUGAAGUCUGCAACUCGACUUCAUGAAGUCGGAUUCGCUAGUAAUCGCGUAUCAGCAAUGACGCGGUGAAUACGUUCCCGGGCCUU
RNAcentral lists this ribosomal RNA (467 nucleotides) under uncultured bacterium. Its description in RNAcentral is "bacterial SSU rRNA". It matches the Rfam family "Bacterial small subunit ribosomal RNA", at positions 917 to 1382 of the family's 1533-position model. The record is from RNAcentral.